RNAcentral lists this ribosomal RNA (320 nucleotides) under uncultured Bacteroidota bacterium. RNAcentral describes it as "bacterial SSU rRNA". It matches the Rfam family "Bacterial small subunit ribosomal RNA", at positions 28 to 351 of the family's 1533-position model. Lineage: Bacteria; Pseudomonadati; Bacteroidota. The record is from RNAcentral.
GAUGAACGCUAGCGGGAGGCUUAACACAUGCAAGUCGAGCGGGAAGGGUAGCAAUACCCUGAGAGCGGCGCACGGGUGCGUAACGCGUAUGCAACCUGCCUUAUACAGGGGGAUAGCCCAUGGAAACGUGGAUUAAUAUCCCAUAGGAUUACGGAGUCGCAUGAUUUUGUGAUUAAAACUACGGUGGUAUAAGAUGGGCAUGCGUCUGAUUAGGUAGUUGGUAGGGUAACGGCCUACCAAGCCGACGAUCAGUAGGGGUUCUGAGAGGAUUACCCCCCACACUGGUACUGAGACACGGACCAGACUCCUACGGGAGGCAG